AGAAGAAUAGCUGGGUCAAAUGGUGAUUCUAUUCCCAGAUUUCUAAGGAAUCUCCAUACUGCUUUGUAUAUUGGCUGCACCAAUUUGCAGUCCUACCAGCAAU
Molecule: microRNA precursor, 103 nt
Filed under: Marmota monax (woodchuck)
Lineage: Eukaryota; Metazoa; Chordata; Mammalia; Rodentia; Sciuridae
Source: RNAcentral